RNAcentral lists this ribosomal RNA (793 nucleotides) under uncultured bacterium. RNAcentral's name for it is "bacterial SSU rRNA". It matches the Rfam family "Bacterial small subunit ribosomal RNA", at positions 8 to 796 of the family's 1533-position model. The record is from RNAcentral.
AGAGUUUGAUCCUGGCUCAGAUUGAACGCUGGCGGCAUGCCUUACACAUGCAAGUCGAACGGCAGCGCGGGGCAACCUGGCGGCGAGUGGCGAACGAGUGAGUAAUAUAUCGGAACGUACCCUGGAGUGGGGGAUAACGUAGCGAAAGUUACGCUAAUACCGCAUACGAUCUAAGGAUGAAAGUGGGGGAUUCGCAAGAACCUCAUGCUCCUGGAGCGGCCGAUAUCUGAUUAGCUAGUUGGUGGGGUAAAGGCCUACCAAGGCAUCGAUCAGUAGCUGGUCUGAGAGGACGACCAGCCACACUGGAACUGAGACACGGUCCAGACUCCUACGGGAGGCAGCAGUGGGGAAUUUUGGACAAUGGGCGAAAGCCUGAUCCAGCAAUGCCGCGUGAGUGAAGAAGGCCUUCGGGUUGUAAAGCUCUUUUGUCAGGGAAGAAACGGUGAGAGCUAAUAUCUCUUGCUAAUGACGGUACCUGAAGAAUAAGCACCGGCUAACUACGUGCCAGCAGCCGCGGUAAUACGUAGGGUGCAAGCGUUAAUCGGAAUUACUGGGCGUAAAGCGUGCGCAGGCGGUUUUGUAAGUCUGUCGUGAAAUCCCCGGGCUCAACCUGGGAAUUGCGAUGGAGACUGCAAGGCUAGAAUCUGGCAGAGGGGGGUAGAAUUCCACGUGUAGCAGUGAAAUGCGUAGAGAUGUGGAGGAACACCGAUGGCGAAGGCAGCCCCCUGGGUCAAGAUUGACGCUCAUGCACGAAAGCGUGGGGAGCAAACAGGAUUAGAUACCCUGGUAGUCC